CCUACGGGAGGCAGCAGUGAGGAAUAUUGGUCAAUGGACGAGAGUCUGAACCAGCCAAGUAGCGUGAAGGAUGACUGCCCUAUGGGUUGUAAACUUCUUUUAUAUGGGAAUAAAAUGUUCCACGUGUGGGAUUUUGUAUGUACCAUAUGAAUAAGGAUCGGCUAACUCCGUGCCAGCAGCCGCGGUAAUACGGAGGAUCCGAGCGUUAUCCGGAUUUAUUGGGUUUAAAGGGAGCGUAGGUGGGUUGUUAAGUCAGUUGUGAAAGUUUGCGGCUCAACCGUAAAAUUGCAGUUGAAACUGGCAGGCUUGAGUACAGUAGAGGUAGGUGGAAUUCGUGGUGUAGCGGUGAAAUGCUUAGAUAUCACGAAGAACUCCGAUUGCGAAGGCAGCUCACUGGACUGCAACUGACACUGAGGCUCGAAAGUGUGGGUAUCAAACAGGAUUAGAUACCCCAGUAGUC
Molecule: ribosomal RNA, 460 nt
Filed under: uncultured bacterium
Lineage: Bacteria
Description: partial 16S ribosomal RNA
Rfam family: Bacterial small subunit ribosomal RNA
Source: RNAcentral